AAACACGGGAGAAAGCCCUGGACUAGAAACCACAAAUCGAUCCAAGAAUCGCUAAGCUCGAUCGAUCGCCGUAACAGUGGUGCCGACACAGCAUGGCGACCAGAGCUGCGUCUCUUGCUCUCGGUGCUCUCCUCGCACUCUCCCUAGUGUGUCAGGCAGUCUCUCGUGUGGAUCCUGCCGGAGGGGUGGCGGUGGAAGGGUACCCAUGCGGCAACGUGGUCGUCAUCCGCGUCCCGCACGACGGUGUCUGCCAGCGGGACCGUUGCGGUGGGCUGUGUGUGGAGCAGUUCAUGUGGAAGUACCCGGGCAUCAAGGCCGUCAUAGGCGACUGCACGACGGAGAAUACCCACGAAUGCAUAUGCUCUUUUAUUUGCUAGUUGAACUUGGUGUACAAUUGUAGUAGUCAAUUUUGUGAUGUUGUUUGGCUCAGAGGAAAUAAAACUUGCUGCACAUUCUUUUUU
Molecule: long non-coding RNA, 461 nt
Organism: Aegilops tauschii subsp. strangulata
Lineage: Eukaryota; Viridiplantae; Streptophyta; Magnoliopsida; Poales; Poaceae
Source: RefSeq, a predicted model, not a curated record